This 756-nucleotide ribosomal RNA is filed under the name uncultured bacterium. RNAcentral's name for it is "bacterial SSU rRNA". It matches the Rfam family "Bacterial small subunit ribosomal RNA", at positions 49 to 799 of the family's 1533-position model. The record is from RNAcentral.
UUACACAUGCAAGUCGAACGGGCUUAAAGAGCUUGCUCUUUAAGUUAGUGGCGAACGGGUGAGUAAUAUAUCGGAACGUAUCCAAUAAUGGGGGAUAACUAAUCGAAAGGUUGGCUAAUACCGCAUACGCCCUACGGGGGAAAGCUAGGGAUCUUCGGACCUGGCGUUAAUGGAGCGGCCGAUAUCUGAUUAGCUAGUUGGUGAGGUAAGAGCUCACCAAGGCGACGAUCAGUAGCUGGUCUGAGAGGACGACCAGCCACACUGGAACUGAGACACGGUCCAGACUCCUACGGGAGGCAGCAGUGGGGAAUUUUGGACAAUGGGCGAAAGCCUGAUCCAGCCAUUCCGCGUGAGUGAAGAAGGCCUUCGGGUUGUAAAGCUCUUUCGCAAGGGAAGAACACUUAGUCUCUAACAUAGACUGAGGUUGACGGUACCUUGAUAAGAAGCACCGGCUAACUACGUGCCAGCAGCCGCGGUAAUACGUAGGGUGCGAGCGUUAAUCGGAAUUACUGGGCGUAAAGCGUGCGCAGGCUGUUCUGUAAGUCAGAUGUGAAAUCCCCGAGCUCAACUUGGGAACUGCGUUUGAAACUACAGGACUAGAAUAUGUCAGAGGGGGGUAGAAUUCCACGUGUAGCAGUGAAAUGCGUAGAGAUGUGGAGGAAUACCAAUGGCGAAGGCAGCCCCCCUGGGAUAAUAUUGACGCUCAUGCACGAAAGCGUGGGGAGCAAACAGGAUUAGAUACCCUGGUAGUCCACG